This is a non-coding RNA of Sardina pilchardus (European sardine), 360 nucleotides long. The record is from the annotation of a RefSeq genome assembly. NCBI's taxonomy places the organism in Eukaryota, Metazoa, Chordata, Actinopteri, Clupeiformes, Clupeidae.
AUGACACCUCACCUGAUGUCGCUCCUUCUGGCUCUCCUGUGGCACUGGCUGUGUUGCGUGAAGGCCCUCGGGGUCAGUCAGUCCCCGCCAGACUUGGUCCUAAAGCCCCAAGCUCAGCUGAAAAUCAGCUGCAACAUAUCUGACGUCAGCAGCCCAAACCUGUUCUGGUACCGACAGAGAGCCUCCGGCGAGAUGGAACUGAAGUUCUUUUCUAUUGGGAUAAACAUGGUGGAUCCAAAAGAGGAAACGGACGGGUUCAAGGCCAGUAGGCCCGUGGACCUGCAGCUGUUCUUGGAGUCUAAUAGUGUACCGCCGUCAGAACCCGCAGUAUGGUUCUGCGCUGCCAGUCAAGCACAGUGA